RNAcentral lists this ribosomal RNA (375 nucleotides) under uncultured bacterium. Its description in RNAcentral is "bacterial SSU rRNA". It matches the Rfam family "Bacterial small subunit ribosomal RNA", at positions 30 to 417 of the family's 1533-position model. The record is from RNAcentral.
AUUGAACGCUGGCGGCAGGCCUAACACAUGCAAGUCGAGCGGGGUUUUCGGACCUAGCGGCGGACGGGUGAGUAAUGCGUAGGAAGCUACCCGACAGAGGGGGAUACCAGUUGGAAACGACUGUUAAUACCGCAUAAUGUCUACGGACCAAAGUGUGGGACCUUCGGGCCACAUGCUGUCGGAUGCGCCUACGUGGGAUUAGCUAGUUGGUGAGGUAAUGGCUCACCAAGGCGACGAUCCCUAGCUGGUUUGAGAGGAUGAUCAGCCACACUGGAACUGAGACACGGUCCAGACUCCUACGGGAGGCAGCAGUGGGGAAUAUUGGACAAUGGGCGCAAGCCUGAUCCAGCCAUGCCGCGUGUGUGAAGAAGGCCU